GUUUAGGCUGAGGAGAGGGUGAGUUUGGGGAGGUGUGUGUGUGUUUGGGGAGGUGUGUGUGAGUUUAGGGAGGUGUUUUACAUGUUGAGUCAGGCUGAGGAGAGGGUGAGUUUAGGGAGGUGUUUUACAUGUUGAGUCAGGCUGAGGAGAGGGUGAGUUUGGGGAGGUGUGUCACAUGUUGAGUCAGGCUGAGGAGAGGGUGAGUUUAGGGAGGUGUGUCACAUGUUGAGUCAGGCUGAGGAG
Molecule: long non-coding RNA, 243 nt
Organism: Oncorhynchus tshawytscha (Chinook salmon)
Lineage: Eukaryota; Metazoa; Chordata; Actinopteri; Salmoniformes; Salmonidae
Exons: 3
Source: RefSeq, a predicted model, not a curated record